RNAcentral lists this unclassified non-coding RNA (341 nucleotides) under soil metagenome. RNAcentral describes it as "partial contains 5.8S ribosomal RNA, internal transcribed spacer 2, and large subunit ribosomal RNA". The stretch from base 1 to 120 matches the Rfam family "5.8S ribosomal RNA", at positions 35 to 154 of the family's 154-position model. The record is from RNAcentral.
GAUGAAGAACGCAGCGAAAUGCGAUAAGUAGUGUGAAUUGCAGAAUUCAGUGAAUCAUCGAAUCUUUGAACGCACAUUGCGCCCUUUGGUAUUCCAAAGGGCAUGCCUGUUCGAGCGUCAUUUGUACCCUCAAGCUUUGCUUGGUGUUGGGCGUCUUGUCUCUAGCUUUGCUGGAGACUCGCCUUAAAGUAAUUGGCAGCCGGCCCACUGGUUUCGGAGCGCAGCACAAGUCGCACUCUCUAUCAGCAAAGGUCUAGCAUCCAUUAAGCCUUUUUUUCAACUUUUGACCUCGGAUCAGGUAGGGAUACCCGCUGAACUUAAGCAUAUCAAUAAGCGGAGGA